UACGUAGGGUGCGAGCGUUAAUCGGAAUUACUGGGCGUAAAGCGUGCGCAGGCGGUGAGCUGUGUCCGAUGUGAAAGCCCCGGGCUUAACCUGGGAAUGGCAUUGGAAACUGGCUCGCUGGAGUGUGGCAGAGGGGGGUGGAAUUCCGCGUGUAGCAGUGAAAUGCGUAGAGAUGCGGAGGAACACCGAUGGCGAAGGCAGCCCCCUGGGCUAACACUGGACGCCUCAGGCACGAAAGCGUGGGGAGCAAACAGGAUUAGAUA
RNAcentral lists this ribosomal RNA (263 nucleotides) under uncultured bacterium. RNAcentral describes it as "partial 16S ribosomal RNA". It matches the Rfam family "Bacterial small subunit ribosomal RNA", at positions 524 to 784 of the family's 1533-position model. The record is from RNAcentral.